GACGAACGCUGGCGGCGUGCUUAACACAUGCAAGUCGAACGGAAAGGCCCUGCUUUUGUGGGGUGCUCGAGUGGCGAACGGGUGAGUAACACGUGAGUAACCUGCCCUUGACUUUGGGAUAACUUCAGGAAACUGGGGCUAAUACCGGAUAGGAGCUCCUGCUGCAUGGUGGGGGUUGGAAAGUUUCGGCGGUUGGGGAUGGACUCGCGGCUUAUCAGCUUGUUGGUGGGGUAGUGGCUUACCAAGGCUUUGACGGGUAGCCGGCCUGAGAGGGUGACCGGCCACAUUGGGACUGAGAUACGGCCCAGACUCCUACGGGAGGCAGCAGUGAGGAAUAUUGCACAAUGGGCGGAAGCCUGAUGCAGCAACGCCGCGUGCGGGAUGACGGCCUUCGGGUUGCAAACCGCUUUCGCCUGUGACGAAGCGUGAGUGACGGUAAUGGGUAAAGAAGCACCGGCUAACUACGUG
Molecule: ribosomal RNA, 468 nt
Filed under: uncultured bacterium
Lineage: Bacteria
Description: partial 16S ribosomal RNA
Rfam family: Bacterial small subunit ribosomal RNA
Source: RNAcentral